UCUAGCAUGUGCGCGAGUCAUUGGGACUUUUUUUCAGGAAAGCCCAGAGGCGCAAUGAAAGUGAAGAUCGGCCUUUUCGGCUUGAUCGAGGGAGGAUGGCUCAUUGUCAUUUUUUAUGACGACGGGCUCGCACUCCCGGGGCGUCUCGCGCUCAUUUCGAGCGGAGGCGCACCCAGAGCGUACACGCUGGGACCCGAAAGAUGGUGAACUAU
RNAcentral lists this ribosomal RNA (212 nucleotides) under Latina guriana. RNAcentral describes it as "partial 28S ribosomal RNA". It matches the Rfam family "Eukaryotic large subunit ribosomal RNA", at positions 674 to 834 of the family's 3401-position model. Lineage: Eukaryota; Metazoa; Arthropoda; Insecta; Hymenoptera; Eucharitidae. The record is from RNAcentral.